This is a long non-coding RNA of Micropterus salmoides (largemouth bass), 268 nucleotides long. RefSeq lists it as uncharacterized. The transcript is spliced from 3 exons. The record is from RefSeq and is a predicted model, not a curated record. Lineage: Eukaryota; Metazoa; Chordata; Actinopteri; Centrarchiformes; Centrarchidae.
UUAAAGACAUCAUCCUGCAGUCCAAUCCGCUGCUGGAGGCUUUCGGAAAUGCCAAGACCGUCCGCAACAACAACUCCAGCAGAUUUGGUAAAUACUUCGAGAUCCAGUUCAGUCGAGGAGGCGCUCCUGAUGGAGGGAAAAUCUCCAACUUCCUGUUGGAGAAGAGUCGAGUCGUUUCACAGAAUCCUGGAGAGAGAAGCUUCCACAUCUACUACCAGCUGUUGGGAGGGGCGACUGCAGAGCAGAGGAGAACCUCGGGGUCACGACC